Long non-coding RNA from Wasmannia auropunctata (little fire ant), 695 nucleotides. RefSeq lists it as uncharacterized. NCBI's taxonomy places the organism in Eukaryota, Metazoa, Arthropoda, Insecta, Hymenoptera, Formicidae. The transcript is spliced from 2 exons. The record is from RefSeq and is a predicted model, not a curated record.
CUCAUCUCGUCGGGUCCGGGAAGGGUUAUUACUCGCGAACGAGACGAGACGACCCGUUCGCAAGUGUCUCAUAAAAAUUCUUAGCCGGUUCACGGAGGCUUUUUACGGCUUCAUCGAGUCGUUUCCACGACCGACACCGUAAUAGCAUUCGGGAGAGAGAAAGAGAGAGAGAGAGAGAGAGAAAGGGAAAGAGAGAGAAGCAGCGAAAGGCGCGCCCCGAGGGCCAGGAAUGAAAAACCGAGGGGUAGAACGGAUGAAUCAAUCGCAAACACAGGAGGGUUUCGGCGUUUCCGCAGUGGAGGGUCACGACACUGGGUUACCGGGUGUAUGCACCCCCUCACUUGAAGCUAGUGCGCUAGUUCGCUCUUCACCCAUCGAAAUUCGGCUCGCGAGGCUUCGAUGUGCCGCUCACGAGGACACACACGCACGCACACGCGGUGCAUCGUUCCACGAUUGGUUAGCGUUUAAGAUUUUCACCUGUCAAUCUAUGGACUGAUAACUUUCCCCGCUAAAAAAUAUCGAGACACCUGUUUCGAUGGAGAAUAAAAUAAAAGGGACGUCUGAUAAAUGAGGUUUCGAGGAAAAAGGUAUAGACGAUAGUAGUAUCAAAAUUUUUCGUCGAUUUUAUGUAUAGAUUUUGGUUUGGGCUGAAUUUAAAUUUGUAUCUUUGUAAUAAAAAUAUGUAAUACACGAGA